GUGCAGCAGUCGCGAAUACUUUACAAUGUGCGAAAGCACGAUAAGGGAACUCUGAGUGCCUCCGUAAGGAGGCUGUUCAGGUGUCUAAAAAGCACCUGAAGGAAGGGCUGGGUAAGACCGGUGCCAGCCGCCGCGGUAAUACCCGCGCCACAAGUGGUGGCCACGUUUAUUGGGUCUAAAGCGUUCGUAGCCGGCCUGAUAAAUUCUCGGUGAAAUCCUGUGUAAAUCAUAGGGCGUGCCGGGAAGACUGUCAAGCUAGGAACCGGGAGAGGCUGAGGGUACUCCAGGAGUAGGGGUUAAAUGCCGUUAUGGUUUUAACCCUACGGUUUUAACAAUCCUGUAAUUCUUGGAGGACCACCGGUGGCGAAGGCGCUCAGCUGGAACGGCUUCGACGGUGAGGGGACGAAAGCCAGGGGAGCGAACGGGAUUAGAUACCCGUGUAGU
This 444-nucleotide ribosomal RNA is filed under the name uncultured microorganism. Its description in RNAcentral is "bacterial SSU rRNA". It matches the Rfam family "Archaeal small subunit ribosomal RNA", at positions 330 to 745 of the family's 1478-position model. The record is from RNAcentral.